Molecule: ribosomal RNA, 301 nt
Filed under: uncultured bacterium
Lineage: Bacteria
Description: partial 16S ribosomal RNA
Rfam family: Bacterial small subunit ribosomal RNA
Source: RNAcentral
CAGUAGCCGCGGGAAUACAGAGGGUGCGAGCGUUAAUCGGAUUUACUGGGCGUAAAGCGUGCGUAGGCGGCUUCUUAAGUCGGAUGUGAAAUCCCUGAGCUUAACUUAGUAAUUGCAUUCGAUACUGGGAAGCUAGAGUAUGGGAGAGGAUGGUAGAAUUCCAGGUGUAGCGGUGAAAUGCGUAGAGAUCUGGAGGAAUACCGAUGGCGAAGGCAGCCAUCUGGCCUAAUACUGACGCUGAGGUACGAAAGCAUGGGGAGCAAACAGGAUUAGAUACCCCUGUAGUCCCUGUCUCUUAUAC